RNAcentral lists this ribosomal RNA (670 nucleotides) under uncultured bacterium. Its description in RNAcentral is "bacterial SSU rRNA". It matches the Rfam family "Bacterial small subunit ribosomal RNA", at positions 129 to 795 of the family's 1533-position model. The record is from RNAcentral.
CCCCAUAGUGGGGGACAACUUAGGGAAACUUAAGCUAAUACCGCAUACGCCCCAAGGGGGAAAGCGGGGGACCUUCGGGCCUCGCGCUAUGGGAUGGGCCUGCGUUGGAUUAGCUAGUUGGCGGGGUAAGGGCCCACCAAGGCGACGAUCCAUAGCUGGUCUGAGAGGACGAUCAGCCACACUGGGACUGAGACACGGCCCAGACUCCUACGGGAGGCAGCAGUGGGGAAUAUUGGACAAUGGGCGCAAGCCUGAUCCAGCAAUACCGCGUGUGUGAAGAAGGCCUGAGGGUUGUAAAGCACUUUCAAUUGGGAGGAAAAAGGCAGGCCCAAUACGCCUGCCCUUGACAUUACCUUUAGAAGAAGCACCGGCUAACUCCGUGCCAGCAGCCGCGGUAAUACGGAGGGUGCGAGCGUUAAUCGGAAUUACUGGGCGUAAAGCGUGCGUAGGCGGCCCGCCAAGCCAGAUGUGAAAGCCCUGGGCUCAACCUGGGAACGGCAUUUGGAACGGGCGGGCUAGAGUUGGGUAGAGGGGGGCGGAAUUCCGGGUGUAGCGGUGAAAUGCGUAGAUAUCCGGAGGAACACCAGUGGCGAAGGCGGCUCCCUGGACCCAAACUGACGCUGAGGUACGAAAGCGUGGGUAGCAAACAGGAUUAGAUACCCUGGUAGUC